UUUGGUUAUUAAAAACCCACGGCAUUGCUCUUCUUCUAUCAGUUGUCUUCUAUUGACAGCACACAGAGUUUGACAGGUUCUCGUUGAUGACUGCUAAUCUGAUUAGUACGGUGAGGUGUGAGGACUGCUAAUCUGAUUAGUACGGUGAGGUGUGAGGACUGCUAAUCUGAUUAGUACGGUGAGGUGUGAGGACUGCUAAUCUGAUUAGUACGGUGAGGUGUGAGGACUGCUAAUCUGAUUAGUACGGUGAGGUGUGAGGACUGCUAAUCUGAUUAGUACGGUGAGGUGUGAGGACUGCUAAUCUGAUUAGUACGGUGAGGUGUGAGGACUGCUAAUCUGAUUAGUACGGUGAGGUGUGAGGACUGCUAAUCUGAUUAGUACGGUGAGGUGUGAGGACUGCUAAUCUGAUUAGUACGGUGAGGUGUGAGGACUGCUAAUCUGAUUAGUACGGUGAGGUGUGAGGACUGCUAAUCUGAUUAGUACGGUGAGGUGUGAGGACUGCUAAUCUGAUUAGUACGGUGAGGUGUGAGGACUGCUAAUCUGAUUAGUACGGUGAGGUGUGAGGACUGCUAAUCUAAUGAGUUCUCAGUGCUCAGCAGCCGGGAGGAGGGAACACACUGUGUUCUCUGUUCCAAACGAAACCCUAUUCCCUAUGAAGUGCACUACUUCCAACCAGGACAAUAGGUACUAUGUAGGGAAUAAGGUGCCGUUUUGAGACACGAAGGUGUUGUUUGGUCAGAGGGGAAGGUUAAAGAUGUGAAAAGAAAAGGCAAGGAAAUAAAUGGUAAGAUGUUGUUGCUGUUGUUGUUGCUGUUGUUGUAACAACAAAUGAUCGUUAAUAUGGUUUAAAAUGGUGGGUGAAUAUUUCACACUUCAUCGCUUCCACAGCAGAGAUGAAAGAGGAACCUUUUCAAAAACAUAAUAAUAUACUCCACUUUAGCAGCAGCUUUUAUUCAAAGCAACUGACAGUCAUGCUGGA
Molecule: long non-coding RNA, 979 nt
Organism: Oncorhynchus keta (chum salmon)
Lineage: Eukaryota; Metazoa; Chordata; Actinopteri; Salmoniformes; Salmonidae
Exons: 3
Source: RefSeq, a predicted model, not a curated record